RNAcentral lists this transfer RNA (72 nucleotides) under Ovis aries (sheep). It matches the Rfam family "tRNA". Rfam says of the family: Transfer RNA (tRNA) molecules are approximately 80 nucleotides in length. Their secondary structure includes four short double-helical elements and three loops (D, anti-codon, and T loops). The record is from Rfam by way of RNAcentral. RNAcentral also lists the same sequence under 3 other names. Lineage: Eukaryota; Metazoa; Chordata; Mammalia; Artiodactyla; Bovidae.
UCCCUGGUGGCUCAGAUGGUAAAGUGUCUGUCUGCAAUGCAGGAGACCUGGGUUCGAUCCCUGGGUUGGGAA